GACGAACGCUGGCGGCGUGCUUAACACAUGCAAGUCGAGCGAUGAAGUUUCUUCGGAAAUGGAUUAGCGGCGAACGGGUGAGGAACACGUGAAGAAUCUGCCCUCCACUUUGGGAUAACACCGGGAAACCGGUGCUAAUACCGAAUAUUGAAACAUAAGUGGCAUCACUGAGUUUUGAAAGAAUUUCGAUGGAGGAUGACUUCGCGGCCUAUCAGCUAGUUGGUGAGGUAAUGGCUCACCAAGGCAACGACGGGUAGCCGGCCUGAGAGGGCGACCGGCCACACUGGGACUGAGACACGGCCCAGACUCCUACGGGAGGCAGCAGUGGGGAAUAUUGGGCAAUGGAGGAAACUCUGACCCAGCGACGCCGCGUGCGGGAUGAAGGCCUUCGGGUUGUAAACCGCUUUCAGUAGGGAAGAAGCGAAAGUGACGGUACCUACAAAAGAAGCACCGGCUAACUAUGUGCCAGCAGCCGCGGUAAUACAUAGGGUGCAAGCGUUGUCCGGAAUUAUUGGGCGUAAAGAGCUCGUAGGUCGUUUGUUACGUCGGAUGUGAAAACCUGAGGCUCAACCUCAGGCCUGCAUUCGAUACGGGCAAACUAGAGUUUGGUAGGGGAGACUGGAAUUCCUGGUGUAGCGGUGGAAUGCGCAGAUAUCAGGAGGAACACCAAUGGCGAAGGCAGGUCUCUGGGCCAAUACUGACACUGAGGAGCGAAAGUCUGGGGAGCGAACAGGAUUAGAUACCCUGGUAGUCCAGACCGUAAACGGUGGGCACUAGUUGUGGGAACCUUCCACGGUUUCUGCGACGCAGCUAACGCAUUAAGUGCCCCGCCUGGGGAGUACGAUCGCAAGAUUA
RNAcentral lists this ribosomal RNA (855 nucleotides) under uncultured bacterium. RNAcentral's name for it is "bacterial SSU rRNA". It matches the Rfam family "Bacterial small subunit ribosomal RNA", at positions 28 to 896 of the family's 1533-position model. The record is from RNAcentral.